Molecule: ribosomal RNA, 420 nt
Filed under: uncultured Nitrososphaerota archaeon
Lineage: Archaea; Thermoproteati; Nitrososphaerota
Description: bacterial SSU rRNA
Rfam family: Archaeal small subunit ribosomal RNA
Source: RNAcentral
CAGCCGCCGCGGUAAAACCAGCACCUCAAGUGGUCAGGAUGAUUAUUGGGCCUAAAGCAUCCGUAGCCGGCUCCGUAAGUUUUCGGUUAAAUCUGUACGCUUAACGUACAGGCUGCCGGGAAUACUGCAAAGCUAGGGAGUGGGAGAAGUAGACGGUACUCGGUAGGAAGUGGUAAAAUGCUUUGAUCUAUCGAUGAUCACCUGUGGCGAAGGCGGUCUACUAGAACACGUCCGACGGUGAGGGAUGAAAGCUGGGGGAGCAAACCGGAUUAGAUACCCGGGUAGUCCCAGCUGUAAACUAUGCAAACUCAGUGAUGCAUUGGCUUGUGGCCAAUGCAGUGCUGCAGGGAAGCCGUUAAGUUUGCCGCCUGGGAAGUACGUACGCAAGUAUGAAACUUAAAGGAAUUGGCGGGGGAGCAC